This 2327-nucleotide long non-coding RNA is filed under the name Canis lupus familiaris (dog). RNAcentral describes it as "lncRNA (ENSCAFG00000053388.1)". The record is from RNAcentral. Lineage: Eukaryota; Metazoa; Chordata; Mammalia; Carnivora; Canidae.
UUGUCUCUAGCUACUGCUAGGUUGUCAGGGUCUUGCUUCCAAGCAAAAAAAACCCAACUGUAGAGGGUUGAUCAUUAGUUUACAGAAUCAGUGAGGAGGCUGGAGAACCAACAGGCUCAGAAAAUAAGAGAAGCCAAGAGGGUCUAGGCAACCCAGAACAGCUAGCUGCCCAGAGUCUGGGGCAACCAGCAUUUUGGUUUUUAAGUUUCCUCCUGUCAAGAGUUAUACCUUGCUUGGGCAGCCCAGGUGGCUCAGUGGUUUAGCGCCACCUUCAGCCCAGGACAUGAUCCUGAAGACCCAGGAUCGAGUCCCACGUCAGGCUCCAUGCAGGAAGCCCUAUGCAGGACUCAAUCCUGGGACUCCAGAAUCACGCCCUGAGCCAAAAGCAGAUGCUCAACCGCUGAGCCACCCAGACAUCCCAAGAACAUUUAAAAUGUGCAUUUAAUAAGGCCAUUUUAGCCAUAAGGAAUUGUUUUGUUAUUAUUACUUUUAUUUUAAAGAGUGCUAUUAAGUACUAGAAAAUCUGAAAAAUAUUUCCAGAACUACAAUGUUCAUCCUGUUGUGGGCAUGGCCGUUUUAUUAAUUCCUUCCUUGCUGUAAGUGAAAAUAUACAGAGGUAUUCCCCUUACUCCCAGCCCCCACUCCAAAACUAAACCAAAUUAAUUGUGAAAUAUGGUAUGAUUCACCUUAUUUUCUGGAAUUCACCUAUAAAAAUCAGGUAUUGGCUAUGGGUGGCAGAGUCAUUUUUAGGCAUUCCUUGAUUAUUCCAUUCUCCAGUGUCAUUUGACUUCCAUCUCUAAAUUUAGUCUUUAAGUAUCCAACAUAGAGCUUAUCUACAUAUUUGUUAUUUAUUGCUUACUGCAAAGGAAUGAAUGAUUAUUUUAAGAUUUGUAACAUUAUGGAAACAAAGAACAAAGAAUGAUCACUCCCCAUAAUCCUGCCCUCAGAGAUAACUACUAUUAACAGUUUGGUAGUUCUUAAUCUAGACUGUCUGGUUUCCAUUUUCAGCUUUUCCGUUUAGCUGGCUACCCUGAACAAGUUAUUGGUCCUCACACUGCCUGAGUUUCCUCAUUUCAGAGUAAUAGUAAUAGUUUACUGGUUCACAAGGCUGAGAGAGGGUUUAAUAAGAUAAAGCAUUCAGCAGAGUUACUGAUAUAUAAUAAGUUUCAUAAAUGCUAGUUUGCAUACAUAUGUUAGUCAAGAUAGACUAGAUUAUAUUGGAAUAACAAAAAAUCCACCCAAAUAUCAGUUGCUUAACACAACAAAAAUUUACUUCUUGCUAAUGCUGCAUAUCUUAUUGCAGAUUGGCAGGGCGUUUUCUCCAUGCAGUCACUCAGGGGCCCAGGGUAAUGGAAGUUCUAUCAUGUUGUGGUCACACUCUGCAAUGCAUGGUACUUUUAGUCAUCACAGCAACAAAAAGACUAUAAAUCACACAUCGGUUUUUUUUACUGCCUCAGCCCAUAAUUGACAUACUAAAUUUCAGCACUUACAAUUUGCUAGUCAGAACUGGUAAUCAUAGCCCUGCUCUGCUACAAGUAAGCUGUAGACAUAUGGAAUGUGAAGUGCAGAAUAUUUGGUGAAUGCUACUACCUCUUUCAAGUCCACCUUUCCUGCCACCCAGUAAUGUAGAUUAUCCAAAUUGUGUUGUAGUUUUUAUGUUUUUUUUUUAAUUUAAUGUAUCAUGGACAUUUCCCCAUAUCAGUACAUAUUAAUUCAUUCAUUGACCAUUUAUUUAUUUUUAAAAAGAUUUUAUUUAUUUAUUUGUGAGAGAAAGUAUGAGAGAGAGAGAGAAUGAGCAGGCAUGAGUAGGGGAGGGGGCAGAGGGAGAAGUAAACUCCCUGCUAAGAAGGGAUCCUGAUGUAGUGCUUGAUCCCAGGAUCCUGAGAUCAUGACCUGAGUUAAAGGCAGGCACCCAACAACUGAGCCACCCAGGCUCCCCUCACUGACCAUUUAGUAAGCCUUUCUAUGCAUCAGGCCUAUUCUAAAUACUGGGCUAUAACAAUGAAGAUAACAUUUGAUAAUCCCUGUCUUCAUGUAAUUUAUUGGGUUGCAAACAGGUAAGAAAUAAAAUAUUUUUUUGAAGUAUAAUGUGUUAGGGCAGCCCCGGUGGCACAGCGGUUUAGCGCCGCCUGCAGCCCACGGCGUGAUCCUGGAGACCCUGAAUCAAGUCCGUCGGGCUCUCUGCAUGGUGCCUGCUUCUCCCUCUGCCUGUGUCUCUGCCUCCCUCUCUCUCUCUCUCUGUGUCUCUAUGAAUAAAAAAAUAAAGUCUUUAAAAAAAAUAAAGUAUAAUGUGUUAGAAGGUAAUAAAUGUUACGGUGAGAAAAAAA